UGUAGAAUUCCUUGAUAGCAGCCAUAGACAUGUCCCGCAGACGUUCUUCUGACCAAACCUUCUCAGAAGCAAAAUUCUGUGUCGAAAUUGGCCCUCCACUUCUCACAGGUGGUGAAGCAGGCCGAGAAGUAUCAAAUCCACGAUCCCUACUCCCAUAAGUCAAGUUCCUUUCUGGUGCACUUGCUUGAUCAUGUUGACUAUAAAAUCGAUCGGGCAUAUAUUUGGGCAUAAGCUCCUCUCUUGAAGCAUAAGGGGCACGUUCAGGCAAACCAUAGCCAUUUUGGGCAUGUGUCAUCCUUCGAGAAUCUCCAAAAUUUGGCACAUUAUCAGUGAAUGGAAUGCUUGGCGCAGCAGGUUGGCCCCUAGAAGACAUUCCCUUAGCAAGACCACCUUGGGGCCCAAGUGUGAUUGGAUCAUCACCAAGAGGCCUCUGGGUCAGGGGAAGUGAUAAUGUCCUAUUCUCGAAAGAAUGUCUCUCAUCCACCCGUACGUCCUGCAUGCCAAAGCCACGGACCUGUGGAGACACAGGACGGAAACCACCCAUCUGAGAGCCUGGAGAAGACAACAUACUCCCUCUUGGAGCAAAAUCCAUUGGUUGACCCCUUCUAGCAGAAACACCCAAACUAGGAGUACGAGCAAGCCUAGUAGCUUGUGCAUGUCGUUCUUGGGCAGCAUCCCUAUGCACUUCCUCUAUCUUCUUAGGCCCUUCAACUUUUCUCCUUUGCUGCCAUUUGUUUUUUCUUAGAUCAAUUGAAUCCUUCAACAUAAACCUCACCCUAGAAGAAAGUUUCAUGUUAUUUGAUAACUUUUCCAUCCUAUCGAAGUAUACAUCCAUAUGUUCCUUUGCUUUGGCAUGAUCUAUCAUCUCCCCAAUUGUACUCAUCAACUUACACAAAGCUUCAAUAUUCUCCUCGUCAAGGUUAUGAUAGUCACCUAACAACUUCUUGAUGCACUCGUGCAUAAUUCUCUCUGUCAACAUUCUCUUCUUAUAAAGUUCUCCGAUCAGUCUGAUAUUCCCCAACAUUCGUCGCCGUGCUUUGACUCUUUUUUCCUCCCUCUCCUCUGCCGACAGUUUUACUUCGCCUUCCUCGUUAGUCACAUUAGCUUCUUGUUCUUCUCUUUCUCCUCUUUCAAACUCUACCUGACAUUUGUUCAGAAGUAACCUCUUAAAAGUGAUUUUUUCAUUGUCUACGCUCAGAUCAGGCAACUCUGCCGCUAGGUGCUGACAGAAGUUGGCAUACAUCUCACAAAAAGUUGGUUCCAUCAAAGCUUUAUCAAAUAUCUGAGAAAUUACACCAUUGAGCGUCACAUCAUUGUCAAUAUUGACUUCUUUGACUUGCUGGAAUAAUUUUUCGAAGUUUUGGGGAGUUAGCUUAUUUAAGAUAGCUUUCAGCUGUCUCUGUUUGGCUUGUUCCUCGUCUGUUAUUUUACCUACUUCAUACUUUCUUUCAGCUUUGUGCAUAAUCUUUGCUGGUGUCUGAGGAGAAGGCAUUAAACCCUUUUGGAAAGCAGUUCCACGCUGCCACCUGUCAGCAUCAACCCCAUUUCUCUGGACUCCUCCAUGAGGACCCAUAGAUUGCAUUGGUCCAGGCAGUAUACCCCCGGCAAACUGAGCAAUAGGCAUCGGCGCUCGAGGGUGUCUCGAAACACCACAAUUGCCACCUGGGCCAGGUCGAAAUCCCAUAACGUUUCCCCCAUAAACAAGGUCCGGCUGUAUAUCUCGCCCAGGCAUAAGAGGCCCAGACAUCUUACUCCAUUUAUCUCCAUCCCCAAUGCCACCUCCGCGGCGUUCACGAAGUCCACUAGAUGGCCUAUCGAGAGCUCUUCCAGGACUAGGGCAAGGCUCACGGAAAACACUGAUUUUCGCAUUUAUCAAAAUAUCAGCUAUAUCAGAAGGAACUUGGAAACCCUCAGGAAUAUCAAUACAUUGUUCUGCAAAUUUAAGUAAGAAAUCUCUUGAAUAUUUCUUGGUUGUCAUACCAUCACCAUCUUCACCAUCAACUUGCUUCCCGUGCUCUGGAGCAGCUUCUAGUUUAGGAGUAGAUAUAUCUGCGGCAUCCUCCCAAUCAUCAGGCUCUGUUUUAACUUCACCAACCUUCUUAGUUGAUGUAAGAUCUUCCUGAGGCGCAUCAUCAGAUAGAGGCUUCGAGUUAUUCUUAGAAGUGAUUUCGCCGGCUUCCACAGAUGGAGCAAGUUCAUCUUUUUUCUCUGGACCCUUAUAAGCCAUAUAGAGAUCAGAAGUCGCGCCAGCAGCAUCUGCUUUCUUGUACAAGUCUUUCUUUUUCAUCUUUCCCCUAGCCGCAGUAACCUUAGGCACAUUGGAAUCCACCAGAGAUUUCUCCUUGACACCAGACGACGACUUAGCUACACCGGAAUUAUCAGCUUCAGUAUUUUCAUCUUCACACUUCGAAGUGGCCUCAUCAGAAUUCUUAACCAAAUUAGAGGCAGAUUCCUGACUUACUACAGCCGAUUCUGUCACAGCAGCUUCUUCGGGGUCUGCAAUAUCUGAUGCCUGAUCAUCUUGAGCUGAUAGACCUAUUGCUGAUGUGCAAGCCUCAGUAUCUGUAAAAUUCUGAUUACAAGUGGAUGAUGUUAUGCUAUCAGCCAUGCUAUCAACUCCAGUUGAGCCGGCAGAUGCAUUUGUAUCUUCCUCUCCAGUUUCUGGCUGACCGCUCUCAAUGUUGGCAUUUGUUGCUUUCUCAGGAGAUCCCUCUUCGGUCAGGCCAGACACCUCAACAGAUUUUACCAGAAGAGAUCCAGAAGACGGCUUCGAGAUAUUAUUCUCACCCUGUUCACCAACCUCCGGCAAUGUUACUUCAUAUCUAUCCCCAGUUUUAGGUACUGGCAUACCUGCAACCAGAUUUCUGGAAUCCAAAAGUUCGGGCGAAACUUCUUUUCCACUAUCUCCAGUAAUGCAGCUUUUCAAUACAACGGACUCUGAAGGAGAAAGAUUUUCCCUACUGUUUCCCAGUGCAGCAGGGCCCAAUGAAGCAGCAGUCUUGACCUCAACGUGUCCAGUUAGUGGAUACUGGGAUGGGGGACUUGAAACUGAGGUAGAUUUCCCAAGAGCCUGCAAAACUUUCAGUCAUAAGUAGUAUCGAGGCAUCGAGCUAGUAUAGUACAUUCAAAAAAGUAUGCAAAUCAAAUACUUUAUCCUGCAUAGUCACCUGUCCUCUUAUUGCUUGUUUUUUCUGUUGAUCUUCAGUGGGUUCCAGGACGCCAAGUGUUUCAGUUGUUGCAUCUACACUACUAUCUGUAAUUACAGAUACUGAAGGCUCACUGGGAGCCUGAGAGGUCAAUGACGAUACACCAGCUGCUGGGCUCUGCUCUGAGAUAGAAUCAGCCACUUUAAUAGAUUGUAUGUUUGCUACAGGCCUUGAUGCAGAUUUUGAAGCAUUGCCAAUCUUUGACUGUGCGGAGGAGCUCUGAUGUAAAGUGUCCAUGUCUUUUUGAGGGUGAGCUGAAUCUCCUCCAGGAGGCUUCGAAAGUCUCACUUGAUCUUUUCCAAAAGCAGCUGAACUGACAGAUGGUAAAUGCUCUUUUUCUGGAUGUAUUCUAGCAGCCGGUUUCACUGUCACCUAAAGUUGAUUUGCAUGAACAAGAUAACAUUAUAUUGUGGGCACAUACGAAGUUCAAUUGUAAGCCAAAGAAAAAUUAAGAUAGAAAAGUCCACACAGGACUUGAGCUUUGACUAACCUGACUAAAAAGCCUUGGUGGCUGAGAACUCUGAGGGUUAUUGAGAGGGAGAGAACUUGGAGCUUGAAAGUAAACAGAACUGGAAUUAUAAGAAUUAGGAUAAUAGUUAAUAGGAUGACCAGGAGGAAAUGAUGCAAUAGGCUGUGAUUGAGGUGGCAUAUUAGGAUGUGACAUCGAACCAGGAGUCCCAUCAAGCCUCAAUUCUUCAUGAGUGUCUGGAUGAGUAAUCUUCACAGUUUUACGUGCACCUAGAUACUUUCCUGCCUGCUGUUGAGGAAACUGCGACGGCAUAUUCAUUCCCAUGUUCCCCAACUGCGGAGGUAGUUGAGGUCCCAUUCCUGAUGAAAAACUCAGUCCCUGCCCCUGAUGCAUCAUCCCUUGAGACUGCAUUGGGUGGGGUUGAAGACCUGAGACAAACAUUGGCUGCUGCAUAGACGGAGUGCCAAUCGGCAGAUGCAUCGGCAUUGGCAAUGAUGUAGCAGACAUGGAAUGAGACGGAAUUUGUGGCCCGGGGCCACCAAAUUGAACAGGAACUUGUGGUGGCUGGUGAAAUGGAAUUUGCAUGUGCAUUCCGGGCAUGGGAUGUGCAGACGGCUUUUGAGUUUGGGUCACUGCGGGUGGAGCUGAAACUUGUACAUCUCUUUUGGGUUUGGCGGCCACACCAUGAGACUCGCCAGGAUUAGACUGGUUCUGGGGUCCUGCAUCCUUUCUUGGCAUUGGCUGGUUGGACGU
Molecule: long non-coding RNA, 4428 nt
Filed under: Nicotiana tabacum (common tobacco)
Lineage: Eukaryota; Viridiplantae; Streptophyta; Magnoliopsida; Solanales; Solanaceae
Description: long non-coding RNA (NTAB_LNC010655)
Source: RNAcentral